AUAGAUAGAUCAUCAUUGGAUGAGUGGACUUGGAUCUUGAGGGAAUCCAAUCAGGAGAACACCCUAGUAAACAAUAAGAGAAUCCAUUUGGGUGAACACCCGAGUAAAAAAUUUUAUACCCUACUACUUAUACCCAUUAAGACCCAACCGAACCACUCAUAUGUUUGUGCUGGUACUUUUCCCGAGUUCCAGAGGUUUUAAAGUCGUCUCCUAUAAUAGUGUAACACCUUCCUCAAUGGCUUUGAAGAGAUCCUUAACCUCUUCCAGUUCCUUUAAAAUAGUAACUGUAGGGUUAGAAAUAGAUUUUAUUACCUUGGGAAGUUUUG
This 326-nucleotide long non-coding RNA is filed under the name Capsicum annuum. RNAcentral describes it as "long non-coding RNA (CANN_LNC015473)". Lineage: Eukaryota; Viridiplantae; Streptophyta; Magnoliopsida; Solanales; Solanaceae. The record is from RNAcentral.